GAUGAACGCUGGCGGCGUGCCUAAUACAUGCAAGUCGAGCGAACAGACGAGGAGCUUGCUCCGCUGACGUUAGCGGCGGAGGGGAGAGUAACACGUGGAUAACCUACCUAUAAGACUGGGAUAACUACGGGAAACCGGAGCUAAUACGGGAUAAUAUAUUGAACCGCAAGGUUCAAUAGUGAAAUACGGUUUUGCUGUCACUUAUAGCUGGAUCCGCGCCGCAUUAGCUAGUUGGUAAGGUGACGGCUUACCAAGGCUACGAUGCGUAUCCGACCUGAGAGGGUGAUCGCCCACACGGGAACUGAGACACGGUCCAGACUCCUGCGGUAGGCAGCAGUAGAGAAUCUUCCGCAAAGGGCGAGAGCCUGACGGUGCAACGCCGCGUGAGUGAUGAAGGUCUUCGGAUCGGAAAGCUCUGUUAUUAGUGAAGAACAAAUGUGCAAGUAGCUAUGCACGUCUUGACGGUACCUGAUCAAAAAGCCCCGGCUAACUACGUG
This 497-nucleotide ribosomal RNA is filed under the name uncultured bacterium. RNAcentral describes it as "partial 16S ribosomal RNA". It matches the Rfam family "Bacterial small subunit ribosomal RNA", at positions 28 to 507 of the family's 1533-position model. The record is from RNAcentral.